This 254-nucleotide ribosomal RNA is filed under the name uncultured bacterium. RNAcentral describes it as "partial 16S ribosomal RNA". It matches the Rfam family "Bacterial small subunit ribosomal RNA", at positions 524 to 776 of the family's 1533-position model. The record is from RNAcentral.
UACGUAGGGGGCGAGCGUUGUCCGGAUUUAUUGGGCGUAAAGAGCUCGUAGGCGGUUCGGCAAGUCGGAUGUGAAAUCUCCACGCUCAACGUGGAGGGGCCAUCCGAUACUGCCGUGACUCGAGUCCGGUAGGGGAGUGCGGAAUUCCCGGUGUAGCGGUGAAAUGCGCAGAGAUCGGGAGGAACACCCGUAGCGAAGGCGGCACUCUGGGCCGAUACUGACGCUGAGGAGCGAAAGCGUGGGGAGCGAACAGG